This is a long non-coding RNA of Ostrea edulis (European flat oyster), 615 nucleotides long. RefSeq lists it as uncharacterized. NCBI's taxonomy places the organism in Eukaryota, Metazoa, Mollusca, Bivalvia, Ostreida, Ostreidae. The transcript is spliced from 2 exons. The record is from RefSeq and is a predicted model, not a curated record.
UACUACUUCCGGGCAGCAGUCGAAAAAUGUCACUUCGUUUUGCUUUGGUUAUGCUCAGAUGACAGCGUUAAAAUGAACCUACAGCCUAUAUAGAUUCCCUACUUAUGCAAAAAGAGGAAGAAGUGGAUUUAUAGAUGCAGAUGCUGUUAUAUACAUCAUUUCCGUCAGAAGUAUCAAUGUGUUGGUGGCUGUUAUGAAGAGAAUGGGCCCAUUUUAACAACUUCUAGGAUGGGCGGUAGCGGGUAGAAGGGUUCAUACCAGUGAUCAAUUUCUCAUGACUCUUAUGAAGUUGCACCUAAAUCUAAGGGAUCUACAUUUAGCAGGCCAGAGGGCUCAAUGCCGAAUUUACCUCUGAAAGAAUCGCAAUGGAUACAACAAACAUAACACUGAAUUUAACUUUAAAAAUGAAUAACUAGUCAUUAUCUGACAGCAACUACAUUGUGCAAAAUUUGUCACACAGCAAAGGCUAUUACUUGUGUAGCACAAUUGUUCUGAAUUCUAUCCUGGAUCCACCUCUGAUGGUGACAUUGUUGAUCACUGAGGUGUAUUGGAGAUGUUGAAGCCAUAUGAUAUAUGAUUCUUGCUAAUAAAGGAUUUGAUAUAUUUGAUAAACUU